UUGUGACCGUUGUUACGGGCA
This 21-nucleotide microRNA is filed under the name Pristionchus pacificus. RNAcentral's name for it is "ppc-miR-360-5p". Its record names the gene ppc-miR-360-5p. Lineage: Eukaryota; Metazoa; Nematoda; Chromadorea; Rhabditida; Neodiplogasteridae. The record is from miRBase by way of RNAcentral.